AUUGAACGCUGGCGGCGGGCCUAACACAUGCAAGUCGAACGGUAGCACAGAGAGCUUGCUCUUGGGUGACGAGUGGCGGACGGGUGAGUAAUGUCUGGGAAACUGCCCGAUGGAGGGGGAUAACUACCGGAAACGGUAGCUAAUACCGCAUAACGUCUUCGGACCAAAGUGGGGGACCUUCGGGCCUCACACCAUCGGAUGUGCCCAGAUGGGAUUAGCUAGUAGGUGGGGUAAAGGCUCACCUAGGCGACGAUCCCUAGCUGGUCUGAGAGGAUGGCCCGCCACACUGGAACUGAGACACGGUCCAGACUCCUACGGGAGGCAGCAGUGGGGAAUAUUGCACAAUGGGCGCAAGCCUGAUGCAGCCAUGCCGCGUGUAUGAAGAAGGCCUUCGGGUUGUAAAGUACUUUCAGCGGGGAGGAAGGCGUUAAGGUUAAUAACCUUGGCGAUUGACGUUACCCGCAGAAGAAGCACCGGCUAGCUCCGUGCCAGCAGCCGCCGUAA
RNAcentral lists this ribosomal RNA (504 nucleotides) under uncultured bacterium. RNAcentral describes it as "partial 16S ribosomal RNA". It matches the Rfam family "Bacterial small subunit ribosomal RNA", at positions 30 to 523 of the family's 1533-position model. The record is from RNAcentral.